This 1321-nucleotide ribosomal RNA is filed under the name Curetis acuta. RNAcentral describes it as "16S ribosomal RNA". The record is from RNAcentral. Lineage: Eukaryota; Metazoa; Arthropoda; Insecta; Lepidoptera; Lycaenidae.
AAGGAAAAAAUUAAAAAUAAUAAAAUAAUAAAAAUAAUUUUAAUAUUAAAAUAAAUAAUGGGGGUUAAAGUAUUUUAAUAGAAAAAAUUAAUAUAUUUAUAGUAUAAUAGUAUUGUAAAAUAAAUUUGAAAUAAAUGAAAAUAAAUUUAAUAAAAAGUAAAUUUAAAUUAUUGUAUCUUGUGUAUCAGAGUUUAUUAAUAAAAUUAUUUAAAUAAAUAAAUCUCGAAUUUAAAAGAGUUAAUUAAUUAAAAAAAUUAAUGUUGUAUAAUUAUUUUAAAUAAUUAAUUAGAAAUGAAAUGUUAAUCGUUUUUAAAAUUAUCUAGUUUUUUUAGAAAUAAAUUUAAUUUAAAAUUUAUUAAAUAUUUUAUUACUAAUUAAUUAAUAAUAAAAAUAAUAAAUUAAAUAAUUUAAGGGAUAAGCUUUAAAUUAAAUUUUUAUAAUAAAAUUUAUUAAUAAAAAAUUUUUAGAAUUUAUAUUUUUCAUAAAUUAAAGUUUAUUAUAAAAUAUUUUUUAAAAAAUAAAAUUUAAUUUUAUUUAAAUUUUUAUAAGAAAAUAAUAUUAAAUUAAAUAAUAUUAGUUAUAAUGAUAAAAUUAGUAUAAUAAUAUAGUUAAUUUUAUAAUAAUUGAAAAUUAAUUAAAAGGAAUUCGGCAAAAAUUUAUAUUCACCUGUUUAUCAAAAACAUGUCUUUUUGAAAAAUAAUUUAAAGUCUAAUCUGCCCACUGAUAAUAUAUUAAAGGGCUGCAGUAUAUUGACUGUACAAAGGUAGCAUAAUCAAUAGUCUUUUAAUUGAAGACUUGUAUGAAAGAUUUAAUGAAAUAUAAACUGUCUCUUAAUUAUUUAUAGAACUUAAUUUUUUAGUUAAAAAGCUAAAAUAAAUUUAAAAGACGAGAAGACCCUAUAGAGUUUUAUAUUUUAAAAUUUAAAAUUUUAUAUAAAAGUUAAAAUUUUAAGUGGAAAAAUAUUUUGUUGGGGUGAUAAAAAAAUUAAAAAAACUUUUUUUAAAUUUUAACAAAAAUAAUUGAAUAAAUGAUCCAUAUAUUAUGAUUAUAAGAAAAAAUUACCUUAGGGAUAACAGCGUAAUAUUUUUUUUUAGAUCAAAUAAGAAAAAAAGUUUGCGACCUCGAUGUUGGAUUAAGAUAAAAUUUAUAAUGCAAAAGUUUAAAAUUUUGAUCUGUUCGAUCAUUAAAAUCUUACAUGAUCUGAGUUCAAACCGGUGUAAGCCAGGUUGGUUUCUAUCUUUAGAAAAAUUUAAUAUUUUAGUACGAAAGGAUCAAAUAUUAAAAAUAAUUUUUAUUAUAAGAAUAUUAUUAAUUAUAAUUA